Molecule: non-coding RNA, 6307 nt
Organism: Sus scrofa (pig)
Lineage: Eukaryota; Metazoa; Chordata; Mammalia; Artiodactyla; Suidae
Source: RefSeq, a predicted model, not a curated record
GUGGCUAUAGCUCCAAUUCAACCCCUAGCCUGGGAAUCUCCAUACGCCGUGGGAGCGGCCCAAGAAAUAGCAACAACAACAACAACAACAACAACAAAAAGGAUUCCUAGGGAACUGGUUAAAUGCAGUUACUUGGGCUCCACCCUCAUUCCAGGAUCUGGAGGCUGUAGGGUAGGGUCCACAGGGCAGGUGUUUUUCUCCUGGGUUUGGAUCCACCUUUCCAAAGACAAACAUAAGCCUCCUGACAAAAGCGCACCAGUGCCUUGGAUCUGUAGUGAACCAGUUUCCUAAUAAGUACCUCUCACAGUCUCUCCUUGUAUUUUCACCACAACCCAUUUGACUGAAACUCAGAGAGGGAGAGUGAACUGCCCUGAGACACAGAUGCAAGAGGACCGAUGGAGUAGCCCUAUGGCCAUCAAGGUGUCCCUUUAAGAAGGAGGCUCAUCCCUGGCAACUGGUGCUCAGAUGGGGCCCAGGGGAGGCCCCAGGGGAGUGAGGAGCAGGACUGGGAGGUCUGGCCAGGAGGAGGUUCCCAGAGCACCAAAGAAAGCCAGGCCCGAAAGCGGGGGGCCUGAGACCCAGCCUGGCAGGAUCCUGCUCAGAAAGGAAGACCCUCAGCGCUUCUGGGCUGGACAGCGGCUGAGGUUUGGAGGUUAGGGAUUGUUUGCUUUGGGCAGCAUAGCUCUUACCUUGUGUGUUCACUUGCUUUGUAAGAACAACGUGAGGCGAGUACCUUACAUGCUCAAUUUCCGGAGUAGGUACCUACACCAGAGAUGUUAAGGUUCUCCCAGAGUCACAGCAGUCGGGAUUCUCAUUCAGUUCUGUCCCCCACACUUUCCCCUGACCCCUAGCUGUUGUUAGAAGGCCAGGUGUCCACAUGUUGUUGAGUGACUCUAGGGGAUGUUGACACUCUUUUUCCUACCUGGAGUGUUACCUUCUGAGGGUGGACAGUCCUAGCCCCGGGGGCCGCCUCAGUGUAGACAGUGUGCAGUCAGGACUGAAAGUUCCCAGGGCUGCCCUUCCCCAGCCAGGUGACCUUGGACAGGCCCCUCCCACUCUGAGCCUCUUCCACUGCUAUAACCAGGGCCACAGCUGCCAGCUUCUCUGGGCUGUCGGGAGGAUGAGGGGUGCAGGGAAGGAGAGGUGAUUAAAGAGGAUCUGCGAAGAACAGCUCCUUCAGGCUCUGGGGAACUUUGCUGGAAUGCUCUUCCUUGGAAUUUCCUCUGUCCCUCCCACCACCACCACCACACAGCCUCCUCCAUGGUUCUCCUUCCACCCUGCUGGGACCCCAAAGUCUUCACGCCUCAUCAAGAGAACAAAGCCAGGGACAACACAGCGUGUCUAGCAUGUGUGAACCCACAGAAGCCUCUGCAAGGAUGUUCACUAAAUCUUAACGUUUCUUCGGAUGAUGGACUUUUAGGUGACUUUUUUUUCUCUCAUCUUUGUAUUUUAUCGGUUACUUACUUUUCUAAACAUAUAUUAUCUUUGCAUUCCUAUAACCUAAAAUGUUUCAUUUCGGAAAAAACGAAGAAAUCUAAGCACAGCACGGAUAAAGCUGGUGUGAAGUUCUUAGAAGCAGGGCAAGUGGCUGACGGUGGCUCUGCAGUCCCCUAUUUCUUGCCUCUGCAUGUGUCACAGGGACUGUUCCGUUCCUCCUGGUGCUCUAGGCUCCUUGGGAGGCUGGGACCACCCCGACUUCUGGGGCUUCUUCACAGCUCUGGGCACAUGGCAGGUGCACAGUACACCUCACCUCUCGCCAAACAACUGCAUUGUCCUCCUCCCUGGUUUUCUCUUGCCACCCACCCACCCCAUCGCCACCCCCUACCCUGGCCCCCCGUCUGUUCUCAACAGUGCAAAUCAACUACAUCCCUCUUUGACCCACAGGCCCUGCGCUGUCUGGCACACUGGCCCCUCCAGUGUAGACCGCCUUUCACCACCUUAUCUGUGCUCAGCUGAAGCACAGUGUGGCCCCUCCAGUCCUUUGACUUGCUGCUCCUUCUGCCCAAAUGCUCUCCCCUCAGAUUUGUGCUUUGUCACUUAGGUCUCAGAUUAAACAUCUUGUCACACAAGAUUUCCCCAACCUCCUUCUUCCCUUCCCCCCACAUACGCACAAAUAUGCUGCCACCUGGUUUCAUUUUAUUUUAUUUUCCUUUUUAGGGCCGCAUCCACGGCGUAUGGAAGUUCCCGGACUAGGGAUUGAAUCCUGGAACUGUAGUCACCAGCCUGCACCACAGCCACAGCAACGCCAGAUCUGAGCCACAUCUGUGACCCACACCACAGCUCACAGCAACGCUAGAUCCUUCACACUGAGCGAGGCCAGGGAUCGAACCCACGUCCUCAUGGAUGCUAGUUGGGUUCUUCACCCCCUAAGCCACGCGGGAACUCCUGGUUUUAUUUCUUCCCUAGCACAACUGUCACCUGAGACUACAACUUUGUCUACUCUGCCUCCCCAGAAUUUAAUCCCCACCCAGGCAGGGGCCUUGCCAGUCCUGCUCACCGCUGUACCCCUAGCACAGAGGCCCAGUGCCGCUUGACACAUGGCAGGCUCCAGGGAAGUUUGUGGGGUUGAAUGAACUCACUCCAGAUCGACUUGUCGUUAAGUCACAAUGUCUAAGGGUAAAAUACCUGUUCUUCUACCAUUCUCCCCAGAAGGCAACAAUGUGUGGCUGAAGUACCUUAUCUUGUCAACUGUCUUCAGGAGCGAGAAGGAGCUGGGGCCUCUGCACAGGGCUGGCCUGCAGGAUGCAGGAGUCCUCCGUCCGUGGCUGUUGAAUGGGUGCUGCUCUCAGCCCGACAACAUUCAUUGAUCAUCUAAUCUGCACCAAGUGCUGGGCAAAGAGUUUUCCAUUUACUCUCUUCAAAACCACCCUGUGAGGUAGGUAUCGUUUCCCCUAUUUUACAGAUAAAGAGAAGAGGGCGUUCCUGGUGUGGGCAAUGGGAUUGGUGGCAUUUUCAGUGCCAGGACGCAAUCCCUGGCCUGGCACGGGUUAAAGGAUCUGGCAUUGUCGCAGCUGCAGUGUAGGCUGAAACUGUGGCUCAGACUGAUCUCUGGUUCGGGAACUCCAUAUGCUGCAGUGGCCCCAAAAAAAGGAAAAAAAGAGACAAAGACUGGCUCACAAGUGGCAAAGUUAGGACUUAAGCACAGGCUGUGUGAUCUUAGACUAGGUGCUCUUAGAGGACUCCUGCCUCUGAAACUGCCAGCUCUUGGCAAGCAAAUAUGUCAGCCAAGGCCACCUGCCUUCUGUGUCCUCUGGAAAGUCAGAACUUCUUGCUUUAUUUCUUUGGUUGCCCUUGGCAUACGGAGUUCCCGGGCCAGGGAUCAGAUCCCAGCCACAGCUGCAACCUAAGCUGCAGCUGUGGCAAUGCUGGAUCCUUAACCUGCUGUGCUGGGACAGGGAUCAAACUUGCUUCCCAGUUCUCCCAAAACGCUGCAGGAACGUCCUCUUAUUUACACUGGAAAAAUGCCUCAAUGAUGAGGUCUUAGCUAUGUGGUGAUUUCAAGGGCUCAGCCACUUGCACCUGGAUAACUUACUGUACCUGUUUCCCCACCUGUAAAACGGGACCAAUGGUUACACCUCACAUCCACUGCGUGCGAAAGCUGAGCGGAAGGUGCUCAAAGUGGCCCAACUGAACCUGCAGACACCUGCAGCCACGCCGGUGUGUCUUGCAGUACUGGGGGUGUUCAGAGAGCUGACCACCCAUCCCAGCACUUGUGAGAUCAUGGGAACAAGGUGGGGAGAGAGCCCCGGGGCUGCAGACACAGGCUAUGCCACAAUGAACCCAGAAGUGAACACUGCUGGGUGCAGUCAGAUGUCCUCCAAGAUCUUAGAAGUUGGGGCCAGCAGACCAGGCUUAGGAGCCUGACUCCGCCACUGGCCACGAGGUGACCAUGGGCUAGCUGAAUUCUCUCGGAACCCUCUGACCAUCUUUAUAAUCCAGUGGUGAGAGUCAUCUGUUCUUUACUGCUCUUGCCACUUCUCAUCCACAAGGCGUACAACCAAGCAAAGGCGGCCUAUCCAGGCUCAGCGCAGUUCAGCUCAGAGGAGACAGACGAAGCACAGCCUGCGGUUGCUUCAUGCAUGACACAAAUGCAAGCAGGCAGAAGUGAAUUUAUUGCAUUAGAAAAAAUACCAAAGGAAAACAGCAAACACCUCCAUACUAGAUACAAUUAUUAGUUUGAUUUCAAGGGUGAAAAGGGAUCGCAAAGGUACAAACUUCAUUUCUGAGAGGGGUGACGGUCUCAUCCCUCCUCCUCCUUCCCUGUCCCUUUAAACCAAUGGGCCUCGAUGGAGGUGAUACAAUCACACACACGGCUUGCUCUCACCCUGCUCGCCUGCGCACACCCGUGCGGAGCCAGCUCGUACGAUGAGCAGGCUCCUGAGGUUCUGGGGUAGACAGAGAAAUGUGAGGAUGGGGUGGGGGGGUCCUCGCCGGGCCCGGGGUUCCAGUUAGUGACCGUGGGCCUUAGGUGGGGGAGGGAGAGCUCGCCUUCCUGCAAAGCUCUGAGAAGACGGCUGACUGACCCCUCCUUCUCUCCCCACAAACCCUAAGGCACAGGCAUUGGCACAAAUAGCUGUUGGGCAUGAAGGGUGGCUUUCAAUGAGCAAGUGACUCAAAGUCUCUCAGGGGAGCCACGUGGGCUAACUUCUUGGUACAGCCCUGGGUCUGGAGGUGAGCACUGGGGGAGGGAAAGAAAUCAGCUGAGCCUGGAUAUGGGGGAGGGGAAAGAAGGAGCCUUGAUGCCCAUCACCCUCUGGCUAGAGCUGAGUGCCCUGGGCAGAGAGGUCUGGAGCAGGGGCCUGGAAAGAGCGAGGGCUGGCGAGGCAAGCUGGAAAAGGGCAGAAACCCAGCUGGGAAGCAGAGCAACGUCCUCAACCAAUGCGCUGCCCUCCCAGGAGGAAGCCCGCCCGAAACCCACUCGCUGUGGCCCAAUUCUGCCAGAGGGUCAACAUUAAAUAAGAGCCGGUGCUAGUUUCUACUCUAAUGUCUCAUUACCAUGCACACUGGCAAGUCAGUGGGUCUUCGGAAAAAUUAAAGUGCUUAAUGGUUUGUCUUCCAACCUUGAAAGUUCCAAAGUGUCCCUUGACAUCACAGCUAGUCAUCGCAGAUGUGCCCAGUCAGGUGACAGGCAAACACUAACGCAGAAUAACAUCUCUAGCUAAGACCCUGGUGAUGCCAACUGCCAUGGCUAACAGCAGAGAUGGGAGGAGAUGAGGCCGGACGUGAGCAACAGCUUUUUGGAGAGGAAAGGCACCUGCUGCAGGCCAGACCCCAGGAAAGAGAACAUAAUUCAAGUCUGAGAAGUGGCAGGAGCCGUGGCAGGAGGGCCCAAGUGCCAAGGCUGGGCUCAGGUACCGAGAAGAUCUGAGCCCUCCUCCACAUUCACUUUCUCAACUUAAAGGAGGCUCACUUGAAGAAAGAAUCGGAGAGCCUCUCCAGGUGAGAAGCUUCCAGAUUGUUUCCUGCCUAUAAGCUCCUAGCAGCAGCUCUUUAGGAAAAUGCCCACUUACACCCUCAACCUCGCUUCCUUACAGUCAGAAUGACACCGGAAAUAACACGUGCCUUUGAAACACACUUAGGAUCACGUAAAAAUCCCUACCAGAAACAACCCUAAAUUUCCUUGCCACCUUGAUUUGGCCUUACUAUUCUUUCUACAUCGGGGACAUUGCCCCUUGGUCCCCAGCUGAACACUGCACACUGGCCUGGGUGGGGUGGGUACAGUGACUACAAUAACCUACGUUAUCACUCGCAGACAACAGGGCUGGGUUUCUGCUGCUCCCGACCUUCACUAGCUGUGACAGGGCAGCUAUGCUGAGGAAGAACAGUCAGCAGACAGCUAGGCAGGUCCUCCAAAAUCCACGUCAGAGGAUUGGCAGACAGUCUGGGUGGAAGGAAGAAUGGCUUUAUCCUGUUUCUUCUGGCCUGACACUUGCUGUUGCUCUCCCUCGAUCCUGAGGCUUUGGGUUGCUCCAGCCCGGGCCCCGUGGCCUUGACUGAGGGAGGAGAGGAAAGGUGGGAGAGACUGUGGCUAAAAGAGUUCCUUUAGGUUGGCUGAGUCAUCUUGAAAGUGGUCCCACGUGCACCAUAUCCUUUGGUUCAUUUAAUGCUAGAGAGUAACCACUUCCAGGUCAUGGAAAACGUAAAACCCACCUGGCUCCCACAGGUGGUGGCAACCUGGGUAGAGCGUGGGCAUUCUCCGGAAAGAGGUCCUAGGUUGGGGUUCCCCACACUGUGCCGCUUGCUUUCUGCUUAAACAAACCCCCUCCCUUUCUCCAGUGUGGAGGACGCUCAGGAAGCAGCGUCAAAA